AUUUUCUUUGGGGAAGGGAUAUGUGUAUGGUAUGAGGUAAGGAUCUAAUUUUUACCAUAUACACAGCCAAUUAUCCCAGCAUCAUUUAUUGAAUAAUCUGUUCUUUUCCCACUGAGUUGUGGUGCCAGCUCCGUCAGAUACUAAGUUUCCAUAUAUUUAUUUGUGGUUCUGUUUCUAGGCUGUGCAUUUGUUCACAAAGACCUCUAUUUAUCUAUCCCUGUACCACAACUUUUAAAUUAUGAUGGCCUGAUAAUAUAUCUUGAUAUCUGGUGUGGCCUGACCACAUCUUUUUCAAAAUGGUCUUGACUGUUAUUGGCCCUUUAUGCCUUAAUAUGAAUUUCAGGUUCAGCUUGUCAAAUGCUGUAAAAAAUACUAUUGGGAUUUUGAGUGGAAUUCUACUGAAUUUAUAUAAUAAUUUAGGGGAAACUGUCAUAUUUGCUUUUGGAUUGAAUAAUAUGAAAUUGUCAGUAUUUCAGCCUACAAAAAUGGCAAUAUGGUUCUACCUAAUAAUAAAUGUUCUGUCUAAGAAUGUCAAGUAUCUUUGAGUUAUUUAGGUCUUCUAUAGCAUUUAAUAGUUUUAUGAUUUCUCAUUAAAUAUCUUGCUUAUCUUUAAUUAUAUUUAUUCCUAGAUAUGUUGUAAUUUUUGUUGUUAUGUAAAAUGUUACAGGGUUCUCUGAAGGGUCACUCUAUCUGAGUUUUCUCUUUCUUUGGAUAUUAGACAUUAGAACUAAUAUGAAGAACUUUGUGUUGCUGAGAUACUUUAAUUGUAGGCCUGCUUGCUUCUAAAGGGAUAGCCUAAUUCAUUUCCACGUGCUUAUUUGGGUCUCUCCCUGGCUUCUGACACUGCAUACAGAUUCUUCAACUGCUAAAAACAUAAUUCCUAUGGAAACUCAUCAUUUAUUUCUCUUUAACAUAAGACGCUAUAUCAGAUUGAACCAAAUAGGCAUAGAUCAGAACUUGCAAAGAUAGAUGGCUUCUGGGGCUGGGCACGUAACACAAAUGAGUUGAGGGUGAGAUAAUGCGAGGGGGACUGUGACUAUGGAGCAUAGAAAGCCUCUCUCCGUCUAAAAUUGGAAGCCUCUACUUAGCUUGGGAAUUUGGAUAUUUGAGUCCAGUAUUGUCUUCUGAGUUUUAGAGAGAAGGCAGAAAUAUGAAUUUUUUAUGCUAAACCUCAUGAUUUUUAAAUAUUGGAACAAGAUCAACUUAUAUACACUAACUGUGAGGGGCAAUAAAAACAUGUCAUGUAUGCUGCAUAGAUUAGACACAACUUUGACUUAGGGGAUGUACAUAGGGAUACGCUUUUAUAUUUUUAUUAAGCAAGGACCUUCGUGAUCUGGCCCCUCCCCAUCCCCCCAGCUUCUGUGCCUAUUAUAUCCCUAAAUGUGUCCUUGAUAUGAGCCAUGCCGAUCUAUUCACAGUUCAUGUUAAGGCUCAGGGACUUUGCACAUAUUCCCUUGGCACAUGGUUAACAUUUACUUGUCCUUUAAUAUUCAGCUGAAGGAUUAGCUGUUCUGGAAAGCAUUUUCUGAUUCUCUUAGAUCUCUUCUCUGUUACUCCCAUAUUACCCUGUGCAUGCCUCUAACCUGGUACUUACCAUUUUGUAGCAACUUUCUUAUCUGCCCUCUGCACUGUGGGCUCCCGGAGAAUGCUAACUCUGCCUAAUUCAUCACUGAGUCCUCAGUGUCUAGUGCUGUGAUGACAGACAGCUGAUCUUCAGUAAAUGAGAAAAUGACCAAAUAAAUGAAGACAAAGGAAAAUGGAAUAGAGGAAGUGAAGUAGGGGAGUGAGCUUCGCAAUACCUGCUGAAUAUUGUGAAGCUAAGCUUGUCAUUAAUGCUAACUCUCUAUGUGGUAAUAUUGACUGAUGACCUGUAGCAUGUCCAGCUCUCCUCAGAAUUUAUAAAAUUGCAUGUGAGUUAAUUUUGUCUUCUUAAGGUUCUAAAAGUCCCAGUUCCUGGAGCUUAGAAAUGUAGUAAACUCAGGUGGUUUCAUGGGCUUACUAAGACAGUAGCCCCAAAGGGAUAAGUAAAAAUUUACACUGGGCUAUAUUUUAGGAACCUGUCAUGUACUCCAUAGUAUGUGAUGAUGAGACUCAGUGCAAGGACCUGAAUUACCUACUGGGUUGGUUGCUAAUGGGGGUUGUGGGAUCAGUUUGUGACUUUGUUUGGUCUAUACAUGUAUCCCUGGGAUGUAGUCUAAAUUUUCAAUGUGUCCAACCCUUUUAAUUGUCCAGGAACUUUGAAAAAAAUUUUAUUUCUUUCCAUUAUACCUUGAGGUGAAGGACAGUCUUGGCAUUUUACAUAUGAGCACCAUAUUACCCAGGGAAGAUCAUGGAAUAUAAUUUUAAUCCAAUUUAGCAUUAAGUAAAUAAAUCUGUAGAGCUUUUCAAUUCCCCUAUUUGAUUAAAUAAAUGUACAUCAAGUGUUUACCUCCUGUUCCUUAAUACACACAAAGAAUGACUUGUCACUUUCCUAAAUUGGCCUACUUAGUAUGAUCAGUGACUCCUGUUUUAUUGCUCUGUUGACCACCUGUACUUCUGACUCAGAGAAACUUAUGUCUAUCCAAUUUGGCCAAACUAAUCUUCAUCAUCAAAACUGUCUUUGUUAGUCAUCAAAGUCCAAUUCAGAUGUCAUCUCUCUCAUGAAACCUCCCCUGAUCAGCCAUCAGGAGUGCCAAUUUGUAUCUGAUGGAUUUUUAUACCACUCACCAUUGCACAUUUAUGAAUUGACUUUGUUUGUACCUUUUAUGUGUACAUUUUUCAAAGGCUAGCAAAACUUGAGCCCCUCAAGUUCUGUGGUACUAAGGCAUUGUUUCCUGAAUGAACACACUGACUUAUAAUGAACAAAGACACCAGGCCAAAGAGCCAUAGGUGCUGUUGGUAGCUGUGCAGUCCAGUCAGAGGCAGUGAGGAGGAAAUCUUUUGCUGGACUAGUCUAUGUGGAAACACUCCUGUGAAGGCAAAUAACCCAUGAGGAAGAAUAUGAAAGAGAACUCAGGUUCUAGAGAUUUUCAGAGCAAGAGGAAUUUUAAAGCCUAAUUUCCAGAAACAAUGCGUAGUUCAUCUUAAGUAGGCGAAAGCAGUCAUGACUUAUGUGAGAAGAAAGUAAGGGAAAAUGGAAGUGUGAAAGAAAGAGGAUGGACUGUCGCAUCUGGUAGAAUCAGAAGGAAGAGUCCAGCUGGGUGAGCUUUGCCACUGAUGAGUACAAAAGUCUCAUCUAUAUUGCUGACAUACUUCUAAGUUAAGUGGACUGAUUUCACCACCAAGCACCCAAUCUGGCCCUGACACAGAAAAUGACAUAAAGGAGAAAUCAGACAUGUGUGGAAAUAGCUACUUCUCAGGAAUUCCAUAAUUCACCAGUAACUUUCCACUAUGAGAGUACUAUGCACUAAACAAAAGAUUAAAGCACAGGAUGAAGAGU
Molecule: non-coding RNA, 3418 nt
Organism: Microcebus murinus (gray mouse lemur)
Lineage: Eukaryota; Metazoa; Chordata; Mammalia; Primates; Cheirogaleidae
Source: RefSeq, a predicted model, not a curated record